AAAUAUAAUAAGCUUGAUGAAUAACCAUUUAAAGUUUAAGUAAAAAGGCGAGUUUCAAGUAUAGAGAAGCAGAAAUUUAUUAAAUAACACACGAGACAUCGAUCGCUUCUAACAAAAUUCUUUGUUAAUUAAAUAAAUAAAGUCAAAGAUGUCCAAGUUUAUUAUUUUACUGUUGGUAACUAUGUUCGCUGUCACUAUUUACGCUGAUGAUGAAAAAACGUGUUCUGAUCCUGGCGAUGAUUGUGAAGAAAGUGAGGAGUGUUGCAGUGAGAUGUGUGAUAUGUAUAAUGAGAGAAAGCAAUGUUUCCCAUCAAAAGAACAAAUGAAACUAAUUGACAAAAACAUUGAUGCUGCUCCUCAAGAAUAAUAUAUUUUAUUCCAACGAUAUUUUGUUUAAAAUUAUACAAUGUGUAAUUGAAAUAUUUAAUUUGUUUGAUUGUACAAUAAAUAAUUAGUUGUCAACUU
Long non-coding RNA from Microplitis mediator, 465 nucleotides. RefSeq lists it as uncharacterized. The record is from RefSeq and is a predicted model, not a curated record. NCBI's taxonomy places the organism in Eukaryota, Metazoa, Arthropoda, Insecta, Hymenoptera, Braconidae. The transcript is spliced from 3 exons.